AUAUAUUAAUUCAUCAUAGAUGAAGUGCUAUAAAUACAAUGUUAGUGUGUUAGGAAGAGAUACAAGCUUGUGAGAUAUAAUUAUAUAUAUGAUGAAAAUGGAGAAGAGUACUAAGAAUAGUGUGGUGAUGAUGAUGAGCUAUAUUAUAGUUGUUGUUCUUGUGUUUCUUCCAUCUACUAGUUUUGCAGGUGGCGGGAGAGCUCUGAAUAAUCUUCAACUUUACUCCUCAGAUCAUCCUGGACAGGCACAGGUCACUCUCACUGUCGAACCUUCUCUUUCAGAUAUAUUAUUGAUAGAAAGUUCAGGAAAGAAUGCUCAAUGCUUUGGUAAAUUUUGCGCGCCUUGGUCACCUUGCCAAUCUGGGUGU
Humulus lupulus (European hop) is the source of this 367-nucleotide long non-coding RNA. RefSeq lists it as uncharacterized. NCBI's taxonomy places the organism in Eukaryota, Viridiplantae, Streptophyta, Magnoliopsida, Rosales, Cannabaceae. The transcript has 2 exons. The record is from RefSeq and is a predicted model, not a curated record.